UCGAAAAAUCCAGUUUCAACCCCAUUGAAAGACAGAACUAAACACAUUGAAAACUCCAUUAACUACCCAACACCACCUUCGCUGCCAUGUCUCAACCCUGUUAGCAGUCAUUUCCAUCGGAAGACGAAACAUACAACAUAAUCUCUGUAAACAAUCUCCAAUCCCCAUAUGCACGUGUCGUCAUGUCGUCCAUACGUGCUGUCAGUGACCUCCGAAAGCCGCCAUGCCACCGAUGCCUUGCUUCCAUGGACCUCCUCGAUUGGUUGGGACUGUUCUUUGGUUUCCAAUGUGAUAACGUAAAGAAUAACCAAUGGGAACACCUUGUUCUCUACUCGGCCAACGGCCAUAUACGUCUCUCUUUGCCACCAGUCGACAACAUUGGAACCUUUCAAGCUGUAGUCCUCCAUGAAUUCCACCAUAAGCUACUCAAAAACUACACUAGCUGGUGUCUUACGCCGGCAGGGCAUCCAACGUUGACAGAUUCGAUUAUGAUACUCGUAGAGAGUAUGAUGCUUGUUAACUUAUCAAUUUAUUACCAUCAACAUUCAAUUAAAAUAGAAUCGUAAAAAAACUCAUAAGAUUUCAAUCUUUAAAAAUAUGUUGCUCCACAAGAUUAAUCUUCAAAUAUAGAUCGUAUACGUCCAUAAUAUCAUUUAAGUCUUGGCUCGACUAUUUUGAUUUCAAAAUAUUGCUUACUCCACAAAUACAAGUUACGAAUUCUAAACAAUGCUAAGUGUCGUUGUAAUUUUUCGUGCCAUUACUCUCAUAACAAUUUCAUUACAAUUAACUCUUUCAAGGUUGAACAAGAUUUUCAUAUUUAGAGCACAAAUCUAGUUUCACAAAGCAACAUUUAAUUCAUGAGGAUCUAAAUCUCAUCAAAUCAAUUACUCUUAAUAUAAGAACACAAAAGAUUAAGACAAACUCAUAUUUUCUUGGAUAUAUUAGUAUGCAAGGUAAGAAUCUUGUUUGAUCCAAUCUCAUUUCCAAUUAUAAUUAUAAGACUGAUUGCACAAGAUUCUUAAAAAGAUACAGGUAAAAAAUCAAACUUUUCGAAUUUUAAAAUUUCAGUCCUAACUCAAACCAUAAUUGUUAAAUCUUGUUGGUUAAAUUAUGCUGCUAAUAUUGUAUUAUGCAUAAAGUUGUUAAUUUUAUCCAUGUUCUCCAAUUGGAUUAUUCUAGUAUUUUAAUCUAUCAAAUUUUAAAAUUUCAGUAUUGACGCAAACUAACUAUUAAAUUCAUUAGUUAACUUUUUUGUGAGUAACAUGCGGAAAUAAUAGUCUCACAUGGAUUAUACAUGUGGAAAUAUGUUUAUCGCGUCAAAUUUUGAAAUUAAUAUAACUUAAUAAAUUUAAUAGAUACAAUUCGAUAAGUAUUACAAUUUUGAAAUUCAAAAAGUACAAGGAUUAAAAAUUACGAAAUUACAGUAUAAGAACUAAAUGGAUAAUUUAAGCAUAAUAAAAGACUAAGAGUAGAAUCUAAUUUACUAUUUUUAUUUUUAUAAACUUACCAAAACAAAACAAAUGAAGGGCAAUUAAUUGUCUUACAAGUAUAAAUGUAAUGUAAGCACAAGUAAUAUAUAGUUAUAUGUAUAUGUUUAGGUAAUUAAUAUAAUAUAAUAUAGGGUAAAUUAUACAAUUAGUCACUUAAUUAUAGGUAAGUUUUUAUUUUGGUUAUUUUCUAUCAAUUUGAUAUUGAUUCUGUAUAAAAAUUAUAAAAAAAUGAAGUUCUAAAAAUAUAUAGAAAUUUAAAAAAUUAAAUAAAAAUAGAUAAAGUGAGAGAAAAUGAAGGGAAAAUUGUUUUUUCGUGGUAAUAAAAGAAAAAGAUUUGGAAUAUAAUUUGUUAGUUUUGAAAAAUUAUUUAAAUGAAUUGAAAUUUUGAAUUGAGUUUGAAAACUUUAUGGUAUAAUUUAAAUGAAUUUAAACGAUGGUAUCAUAGUCAAUUUCACAAGUCUCUGUGAUAUCCGUUCUGAGAGAAGCUCUUUAACAAUUUGAAACUCGACUUAGAGAUAUUAUUAAUUUGGUUCUAUUCUAUUGAAUGAUGAUUUUCAUUCUUAUGUGUCAAUAUUGCACAAUCUUGAGCUUUAUUGCAAUAGAACCUCGACUUCUUUUAUAUAAACAUUAAUUUUUAAUCAUAUAUUUAAGCUUUAUCAAAUGAAUAUACUAUGUUAAGAGAUUGAAAUUGAUCUAUUUUUUUUAUUCAUUUUCAUGAUUUUAUACAAUGUUGAAGAUUUAUUGUUGUAAUAAUCUGAAAUUUGUAUAUAGAAUUUUUUUUAAUUUUUUUAAAAUAAUUUUAUAUAGAAAUAGAGCUAAAUUGAAAAAAAUAAUAAAAGUAGAAAGUUAAAAUUCUUAUAAUACGAACUAAAAUAGAAUUUUUUAAUUUUUUAACUUAAUUUUAAAAACAUUAUUGAUGAAAUUAUUACUUUUCUGUAAUUAAAUGAUGGAAAUUUACUUGUAAUUAAAUAUAAAAUAUAAAGUAUUAUAUAAAUAUUUUAAAAUAAUUUAUGCAAUUUGAUACAUAGUUGUUAGAUAUGUUUAUGGGUUGGGUUACUCAUCUAGGUCCGAAGGCUUGUUCGAAAUUUGGGAGGGUCUAGGCAAAAAUAUUAAGUUCGAAAAAUGGGUUUGGGAAAAAAAUUAGGCCCGUUUAAAAUUUGGCGGGCACAGCUGGUUUGAAAAUUUAAGGCCUGAACUCGGCCUGACUCAUUUUUAAGUUUAUAAUACUUUAUAUUAUGUUACUUUUAUAUAUUAUGUGAUUUAGAACAUAUUAAAAAAUAAACUUAUACUAAAUAUAUAAUAUCACUCUAAUGUAAACAUUAAAAUAAUUUUAAAAUAAUUAUAUAAAAAAUUUCAAUAAAUAAAAUAUUAUAAAAUUAUAAAAUAAAAUAAAAUAUAUUUUUUUAAAUUAAAAAAAUCUUUUUGUAAAUAUGGACAAGUUUAGACAAAAUUUUUGGUUCAUAUUUCAGGUUAGGUCAGGUUUAGACAAACAUAAAAUAUGCAAAUAUCAUGCUUAAACUUAAUCUGAUUAAUCCGUCACGACCCUACCUAUAAACACCUCUAUAAUAUAUUACACAUUUAUCUAAAAAAAAAUGAUAUAUAAUUGUAAUAGGAUGAAAUAAAUAAAUUAGACUACCAACUACAUAUCAAAUUCCUCCCGUUGACUUCCCAUAUCAAGUUUAGUAAUAUCAAGUCUUUGUUUUUUUCUUUCUAAGAAAGUUCCUGACAAUAUUAUUUUCUUUUUAAUAAUAGCUAAAUUUCAGCAUGCGGUCAAAGUCAUAUAUAAAUUACAAUGGUAAUUAAAACGAAAUUUAAAUAUAUUAAUAUUACUAAAUGAAUACAAUUAUUUAUUAUGAUGUUGUUAUUAAUCUUAAGUUGAUGUCGAGUUAAUUUGUGACACCAUUUCGAUCGACAAUAUAUAUAUAUAUAUUUGGUGAAUUACAAACAACAACUAGAAUUUAGGUCACUCUUGGGGCGGUGAACACCUUUGACCAUUAGGCCAAUACAUGGAGUUCUCAAUCGACAACAUUAUUAGUAUUCUAUCACAUGUGUAUGGGUAUGGAAACUACUAUUUAAAACACAGAUGCAUGUUUAAAAAUGACAUAUAAUAAGUAAUGAAAUGUAUGGUCGGAAACUAAUUAAUAAUAAAUGAAAUAUGUACAAUAUUAAAAUAAAGAAAUUAGGUCACAUUGUAAGUAAAAGGAAAUAUGUUCGGUUGACUCGUGAUACCAACUCAAUUAGGGGCUUAAAUAAUAGCAAGGAUAUAUAUUUCUACACAAACAAUUGAUGGAGGUAAUAAAAUAUGCAUAUUAAAAUAAAAAUGUAUAAAAAUAUCAAAAUAGAGUUUUGGUUUGAGUGAUAAAUUUAAGCUUUUACUAACCUAAUUGGCAAGGGUUCAAAUUUUGAUUUAUGAAUAUUUUUAUUGGUUUUUAAAUAAAAAAUUAAGAUGCCCUCGAAUAAUAUAAUUUAUUUUAAUGACGAAAUAACAUUUCUGUAAGUUCUCUAACUGAAUUGGUGCUCAGUUGACUUGUGACACCAACUCAAUCAGGUGCUUAAAUAAUAGUAAGUAUAGAUAUAGAUAUAUACAAUUGAUGGAGGUAAUAAAGUGUGAUAAUAAAAUUAAAAUGUAUAAAAAUAUUAAUAAUUUCUUUUUUAGCUGAGUGGUAAAUUAAAAUUAGUUUUACUAAUGCAAUUACUUUGGAUUUAAAUCUCACAAUAUGCGUAGUUGUUUUAGCUCGACUGGUAUGAGUAUUGUUGCAAAUGCAGGAGGAUGUGAGUUCCAGUGCGUUGAAGCGCAUUAUCCUCCAAUUUAUGAAUUGGGGAGAGAUUAUGGGUAGUUAUAUAUAUUGUGUCAAAAAGAACACAUAUGAUCAAAAUUUAUAAUGACAUUUUUGUAUAAAGGUUAAAAUGUGUUAUUAGUCCCUAUAGUUGUACAAAAUUAUGGAAGGACAUUUUUGUAAUUCUCUAAUUAAAUUGGUGAUCCGAUUGAAGGUGACACGAACUUAGUAAAACACUUAAAUAGAUAGAAUAUAUACUAAUGGUUAAAUAAUAGUAAUAUAAUAUUUAUAUAAAUGUUAAAAUGUGUUGCUAGUCCCUGUAGUUGUACAAAAUUUGAGAUUAAGCCUUUGUAUUUUGAAAGUUAAAAAUUCAAUAAUCUACUUUUUAAAUUUAAAAAUCUUAACUUAAUUAUUAUCUUCGUCCGUAGUUUUGUCAAAAUCCGUCAACCUAACAUGUUUAUUUUCUGCCAAUCGUAUGUCAUGUGAUAUAAAGAUAACUUAAUUAAAAUUUCAAGUUAACAAAAAUUGACAAAAAAUAUUUAUAGUUUUCAUGACAGAACCGAGAUUUUUAGACCAAUAAAAUAGAAAGACUUAAAAUUUAACUUACCUAACAAAAUAUUUUUAUUUUAUAUAAACUUAUUUCUUAGUCUUUUUUUAUAUUAUACAAUUAAAAAAUUGCUAUUCACACUUGUCCUAACAACAUACCCUUUUGUAUUCACUCAUAAGACCACUUGUGUUAGAACAAUAGUAAUUAAUAUAUAAUUUAAGACUUGUGAUAAAAUAAUUUAUAAUUUAGGGGUUAAUUUUAUAAGCAAAAAAAGAAGAAGACAAAACUGACAACCGAACACAUUGACAAUCCUACUCAAGUUCCUGGUAUCCUGUUUGCAUUUCCUACAGUUUUGGUGCCAUGUCCCGACCCUGUAACCGGCUUUCACUAGAAGGCGAAGGGUACAACAUAAUCCCUGUUCACAAUCUCGAUGCCAGUCAUCCGUGCGUUCGGUACCCUGAAGUACGCGCUGUCUUAUUAUCCUUGCGCGCCUUGGGUAACCUCAGGGAGCCACCAUACCACACAUGGCAUCCUUCUUCCAUGGACCUCCUCGAUUGGUUGGGACUAUUCUUUGGUUUCCAA
This 5396-nucleotide long non-coding RNA is filed under the name Gossypium raimondii (Peruvian cotton). RNAcentral's name for it is "long non-coding RNA (GRAI_LNC003425)". The record is from RNAcentral. Lineage: Eukaryota; Viridiplantae; Streptophyta; Magnoliopsida; Malvales; Malvaceae.